UAUUUCCUUAUUAUAGAAUUUAGCUAAUAUAAUAGAAGUAGGCAUUAACUAUUACUCCACCCUAGAGAUUCUUUGAUUGGUUCUAUGUUGACUGCCAGUUUAUUAGCUUUCGUCGUAGCUGUAUAGCGAGUGCUAUAUGGACCAAAAAUUGAAGUAUCAAUACCACUUUUACCUAAUAGUAAGUCUACAAAGGUUUAUAUAAUAUG
Aricia agestis (brown argus) is the source of this 206-nucleotide long non-coding RNA. RefSeq lists it as uncharacterized. The record is from RefSeq and is a predicted model, not a curated record. Lineage: Eukaryota; Metazoa; Arthropoda; Insecta; Lepidoptera; Lycaenidae. The transcript is spliced from 3 exons.